This 1548-nucleotide ribosomal RNA is filed under the name Klebsiella pneumoniae. RNAcentral describes it as "bacterial SSU rRNA". It matches the Rfam family "Bacterial small subunit ribosomal RNA". Lineage: Bacteria; Pseudomonadati; Pseudomonadota; Gammaproteobacteria; Enterobacterales; Enterobacteriaceae. The record is from RNAcentral.
AAAUUGAAGAGUUUGAUCAUGGCUCAGAUUGAACGCUGGCGGCAGGCCUAACACAUGCAAGUCGAGCGGUAGCACAGAGAGCUUGCUCUCGGGUGACGAGCGGCGGACGGGUGAGUAAUGUCUGGGAAACUGCCUGAUGGAGGGGGAUAACUACUGGAAACGGUAGCUAAUACCGCAUAACGUCGCAAGACCAAAGUGGGGGACCUUCGGGCCUCAUGCCAUCAGAUGUGCCCAGAUGGGAUUAGCUAGUAGGUGGGGUAACGGCUCACCUAGGCGACGAUCCCUAGCUGGUCUGAGAGGAUGACCAGCCACACUGGAACUGAGACACGGUCCAGACUCCUACGGGAGGCAGCAGUGGGGAAUAUUGCACAAUGGGCGCAAGCCUGAUGCAGCCAUGCCGCGUGUGUGAAGAAGGCCUUCGGGUUGUAAAGCACUUUCAGCGGGGAGGAAGGCGGUGAGGUUAAUAACCUCAUCGAUUGACGUUACCCGCAGAAGAAGCACCGGCUAACUCCGUGCCAGCAGCCGCGGUAAUACGGAGGGUGCAAGCGUUAAUCGGAAUUACUGGGCGUAAAGCGCACGCAGGCGGUCUGUCAAGUCGGAUGUGAAAUCCCCGGGCUCAACCUGGGAACUGCAUUCGAAACUGGCAGGCUAGAGUCUUGUAGAGGGGGGUAGAAUUCCAGGUGUAGCGGUGAAAUGCGUAGAGAUCUGGAGGAAUACCGGUGGCGAAGGCGGCCCCCUGGACAAAGACUGACGCUCAGGUGCGAAAGCGUGGGGAGCAAACAGGAUUAGAUACCCUGGUAGUCCACGCCGUAAACGAUGUCGAUUUGGAGGUUGUGCCCUUGAGGCGUGGCUUCCGGAGCUAACGCGUUAAAUCGACCGCCUGGGGAGUACGGCCGCAAGGUUAAAACUCAAAUGAAUUGACGGGGCCCGCACAAGCGGUGGAGCAUGUGGUUUAAUUCGAUGCAACGCGAAGAACCUUACCCGGUCUUGACAUCCACAGAACUUUCCAGAGAUGGAUUGGUGCCUUCGGGAACUGUGAGACAGGUGCUGCAUGGCUGUCGUCAGCUCGUGUUGUGAAAUGUUGGGUUAAGUCCCGCAACGAGCGCAACCCUUAUCCUUUGUUGCCAGCGGUCCGGCCGGGAACUCAAAGGAGACUGCCAGUGAUAAACUGGAGGAAGGUGGGGAUGACGUCAAGUCAUCAUGGCCCUUACGACCGUGGCUACACACGUGCUACAAUGGCAUAUACAAAGAGAAGCGACCUCGCGAGAGCAAGCGGACCUCAUAAAGUAUGUCGUAGUCCGGAUUGAGUCUGCAACUCGACUCCAUGAAGUCGGAAUCGCUAGUAAUCGUAGAUCAGAAUGCUACGGUGAAUACGUUCCCGGGCCUUGUACACACCGCCCGUCACACCAUGGGAGUGGGUUGCAAAAGAAGUAGGUAGCUUAACCUUCGGGAGGGCGCUUACCACUUUGUGAUUCAUGACUGGGGUGAAGUCGUAACAAGGUAACCGUAGGGGAACCUGCGGUUGGAUCACCUCCUUACCUUAAAGAA